AGUGAACGCUGGCGGUAGGCCUAACACAUGCAAGUCGAACGGCAGCACAGUAAGAGCUUGCUCUUACGGGUGGCGAGUGGCGGACGGGUGAGGAAUACAUCGGAAUCUACUUUUUCGUGGGGGAUAACGUAGGGAAACUUACGAUAAUACCGCAUACGACCUACGGGUGAAAGCAGGGGAUCUUCGGACCUUGCGCGAUUGAAUGAGCCGAUGUCGGAUUAGCUAGUUGGCGGGGUAAAGGCCCACCAAGGCGACGAUCCGUAGCUGGUCUGAGAGGACGAUCGGCCACACUGGAACGGAGACACGGUCCAUACUCCUACGGGAGGCAGCAGUGGGGAAUAUUGGGCAAUGGGCGCAAGCCUGAUCCAGCCAUACCGCGUGUGUGAAGAAGGCCUUCGGGUUGUAAAGCCCUUUUGUUGGGAAAGAAAAGCAGCAGGUUAAUACCCCGCUGUUCUGACGGUACCCAAAGAAUAAGCACCGGCUAACUUCGUG
This 492-nucleotide ribosomal RNA is filed under the name uncultured bacterium. RNAcentral's name for it is "partial 16S ribosomal RNA". It matches the Rfam family "Bacterial small subunit ribosomal RNA", at positions 29 to 507 of the family's 1533-position model. The record is from RNAcentral.